RNAcentral lists this ribosomal RNA (497 nucleotides) under uncultured bacterium. RNAcentral describes it as "partial 16S ribosomal RNA". It matches the Rfam family "Bacterial small subunit ribosomal RNA", at positions 29 to 507 of the family's 1533-position model. The record is from RNAcentral.
AAUGAACGCUGGCGGCGUGCCUAACACAUGCAAGUCGAACGAAAAGACGGGGAGCUUGCUCCCCUGACGUUAGCGGGGGACGGGUGAGUAACACGUGGAUAACCUACCUAUAAGACUGGGGUAACAACGGGAGACAAGAGCUAAUAACGAAUAAUAUAUCGACCCGGGUGGUUCAAGAGUGAAAGUCGGUAUUGGUGAGACUAAAAGACGGAUCCGGGUCGCAUUAGCUUGUUGGUAAGGUAACGGCUUACCAACGCGACGAUGCGUAGACGACCUGAGAGGGUGAUCAGCCACACUGUAACUGAGACACGGUCCAGACUCCUACGGUAGGCAGCAGUCGGGAAUCUUCCGCAAUGGGCGAGAGCCUGAUGUAGCAACGCCGCGUGAGUCAUGAAGGUCUUCGGAUCGUAAAGCUCUGUUGUUAGGAGAGAACAAAUGCGUAUGUACCCGUGCUCGUCUUGACGGUACCGAAAGAGAAAGCCCCGGCUAACUACGUG